RNAcentral lists this long non-coding RNA (226 nucleotides) under Capsella grandiflora. RNAcentral describes it as "long non-coding RNA (CGRA_LNC000055)". The record is from RNAcentral. Lineage: Eukaryota; Viridiplantae; Streptophyta; Magnoliopsida; Brassicales; Brassicaceae.
AGAAAGAUAUGUUCGAGAAGUAAGUUUAUUAUCACAAUCCAAAUAAUAAAAGACAAUGUCAACGAAAGUAUAUAUAUCCCACCCACAGCUUUGUUCUCUUUUCGCCUAAACAACCUCUACAAUAAUAAACUCUAGUAGAACAACUUUCCUCCCCAGUAUGAUUGAUAAGAGAAUCUGCAAUGGAAAGAACAAAGAGAGAGUACUGAGAUGACAAUUUUAUGAUGUU